Homalodisca vitripennis (glassy-winged sharpshooter) is the source of this 608-nucleotide long non-coding RNA. RefSeq lists it as uncharacterized. Lineage: Eukaryota; Metazoa; Arthropoda; Insecta; Hemiptera; Cicadellidae. The record is from RefSeq and is a predicted model, not a curated record. The transcript is spliced from 2 exons.
CGAGAGGACAUGUUUUAAAAAGACCAUCCCAAGUACAAAUGAUUAAUGAGAUAUUGGAUGUUUCAAACACGUUAAUAAAUGUUUUGUAUGUUCAUUAUUUAAAUUUUAAAUAAUUGUUAUACAUUCGUUAAUAUAUGGUCAAAACUGUAUAUUCAAGACAGCAGCACAAUCAGUAAAGAUUAAUAACUGACUUAAUAAGUUGGUGAAGGGGCUAACAGUUGAGAAGAGUUACACAGAAAUGACACAUAAAAAUUUUACUUAGUCCAAAAUUGAUGUGCUGUUCUUAUUGGAAUGAGAAUCACAAAGCAGACUUAUCUCCACUACAUUGUCACAGAAGCUCCUCCUGAAUAUUUGGUGUAUAUGUGUUUACGAAGUCUGAUGUUACUCAGUACAUGUUUUAUAAAAAUAUAACGAAUUUGUAAAGCAAAAGAACACGAGUAUAUGAUGUGAGUCAGCUAAGCAAAUAUCAGAUUUACUUUGUAGAGAACAUGAGAGACAAACACGGCUGUUACAGUAUUUGAAGUGAUCAAAAAUGUAAAAAUCCUCAAAGAUGCCUCAAUGUAUUACAACUUAUAAUAUCCAAAUAAUAAAUUAUUGUAUGUUUCUUU